Molecule: ribosomal RNA, 366 nt
Filed under: uncultured bacterium
Lineage: Bacteria
Description: bacterial SSU rRNA
Rfam family: Bacterial small subunit ribosomal RNA
Source: RNAcentral
ACUCCUACGGGAGGCAGCAGUAAGGAAUAUUGGUCAAUGGACGGAAGUCUGAACCAGCCAUGCCGCGUGAAGGAUGAAGGCCCUCUGGGUUGUAAACUUCUUUUAUCUGGGACGAAAAAAGGGAAUUCUUUCUCACUUGACGGUACCAGAGGAAUAAGCACCGGCUAACUCCGUGCCAGCAGCCGCGGUAAUACGGAGGGUGCAAGCGUUAUCCGGAUUUACUGGGUUUAAAGGGUGCGUAGGUGGAUAAGUAAGUCAGUGGUGAAAUCUCCGGGCUUAACCCGGAAACUGCCAUUGAUACUAUUUGUCUUGAAUACUUUGGAGGUAAGCGGAAUAUGUCAUGUAGCGGUGAAAUGCGUAGAGAUC